This 463-nucleotide ribosomal RNA is filed under the name Psammocinia sp. UPDM SZN-HL160. Its description in RNAcentral is "partial large subunit ribosomal RNA". The record is from RNAcentral. Lineage: Eukaryota; Metazoa; Porifera; Demospongiae; Dictyoceratida; Irciniidae.
UGAAAAGAACCUUGGAGAGAGAGUCAAACAGUACGUGAAACCGUCAGGGGGGAAACGAACGAGGUUGGUGCAGUGAUCGCGCAGGUUCAAGCACUGCCGAGGGUGCCGACGCGUGGACCGAGAUGGUCCCGUGCCGUUCGCCCGAGGCAGUGCCGUACUCCUCGUGAGCACGGACCAUCGGCGGUUGAACCGGAGCCACAAGGCGGCAGCGGAAGGUGAGUUGGCGUGGGUUUGUCCCGCACUGACAGCUUAUAGCCCUGCCGUGCGGUGCUCCGGCCCGACCGAGGAAGAAGGGCAGCCCUUGCCCGUAGUGGUGCACGCCGAAUGGCGGGGCCUCCCGAUCCGAGUGAGCCGUGCGGUGUGGACUGCGUGCAGUGCUAAUCGUGGCGGCGAUCUCGUGUCGGAGAGCGUCACUUGUGCGCCAGUGCUGCUGGUAUUCAGACGGCCUCGUCCGACCCGUCUG